Molecule: transfer RNA, 86 nt
Filed under: Lachnellula cervina
Lineage: Eukaryota; Fungi; Ascomycota; Leotiomycetes; Helotiales; Lachnaceae
Rfam family: tRNA
About the family: Transfer RNA (tRNA) molecules are approximately 80 nucleotides in length. Their secondary structure includes four short double-helical elements and three loops (D, anti-codon, and T loops).
Source: Rfam by way of RNAcentral
GCCCGCUUGGCUUAGUGGUACAGCGUCUCACUCGUAUAAGCACUUAUGACAUGAGAAGAUCCUCGGUUCGAUUCCGAGAGUGGGCU